RNAcentral lists this ribosomal RNA (732 nucleotides) under Triticum aestivum (bread wheat). RNAcentral's name for it is "partial small subunit ribosomal RNA". The record is from RNAcentral. Lineage: Eukaryota; Viridiplantae; Streptophyta; Magnoliopsida; Poales; Poaceae.
AUGGCUGAUAUUAGGGAACCUACUGCCAAACUUUGGUUAUUUCAUGCUCGUGAAACUUUAUCAUAUGCACAGUUCGUGGAGAUGGCAGUCACCUUAUGGGCAAUUUAGACAGCUAGGCGCAAGGCGAUUCAUGAGGAAAUCUAUCAAAGUCCGUUGGCAACGCACAAGUUUGUGAAACACUUCAUAACAGAGUUGGAUACCAUUAAUGAGCUGUCUCGUAGGGUUCGGGUGCCAGCCCAGCCAGGUUCGGGUUGGAUGCCACCUCCGAGUGGGCACAUGAAAAUCAGUGUAGAUGUGGGACUCUCUAACACAGGAACAUCAGCAGCUGCGGCAGUGUGUCGAGAUAGUACGGGCUUGUACUUGGGCUCGUCGACUUUGGUGAUUUCAGGAGUUACCGAUUCUUCAGUUGUUGAAGCCAUAGCUUGCCGAGAAGCACUUGCACUUGCAAAAGACCUUUCACUUCAGGAUUUUGUGGUGGCAAGUGACUGUAAAACAGUAGUUGAUGACAUUCAAAGAUGACAGGGCGGAGCUUAUAUGACAAUCAUCAAGGAGAUUUGUAGGCGUAGAUCCUCUUUCAAUUCUUGUAACUUCUUUUUCGAAGGUAGAUCAUCAAAUACUGAUGCACACAACCUUGCCAAACACUCUUUAUUACUUGAUCAGGGUCGCCAUCUGUGGCUUAUUCAACCCCAUGACCCUUCAUGUAUCCCGCUUAAUGCCCAACUAGAUGAAUAA